Transfer RNA from Ovis aries (sheep), 72 nucleotides. It matches the Rfam family "tRNA". From Rfam's summary of the family: Transfer RNA (tRNA) molecules are approximately 80 nucleotides in length. Their secondary structure includes four short double-helical elements and three loops (D, anti-codon, and T loops). The record is from Rfam. Lineage: Eukaryota; Metazoa; Chordata; Mammalia; Artiodactyla; Bovidae.
UCCCUGGUGGCUCAGAUGGUAAAGUGUCUUCCUGCAAUGCAGGAGACCCAGGUUCGAUCCCUGGAUCGGGAA